Molecule: ribosomal RNA, 274 nt
Filed under: uncultured Eubacteriales bacterium
Lineage: Bacteria; Bacillati; Bacillota; Clostridia; Eubacteriales
Description: uncultured Clostridiales bacterium partial 16S ribosomal RNA
Rfam family: Bacterial small subunit ribosomal RNA
Source: RNAcentral
UUUCUUCGGAAUGACGAGUAUUGUGACUGAGCGGCGGACGGGUGAGGAACGCGUGGGUAACCUGCCCUGUACAGGGGGAUAACACAGAGAAAUCUGUGCUAAAACCGCAUAAGCUCACGGGACCGCAUGGUCUUGGGAGAAAAACUCCGGUGGUACAGGAUGGGCCCGCGUCUGAUUAGCUAGUUGGAGAGGUAAGAGCUCACCAAGGCGACGAUCAGUAGCCGGUCUGAGAGGAUGGACGGCCACAUUGGGACUGAGACACGGCCCAAACUCC